AGCUUUAUAGUCAAUAAUGAUAUUAGACUGCAAUUCUAAAGGAAUAAUUAAAAUUAUUAAGGCUU
Molecule: transfer RNA, 65 nt
Filed under: Volucella nitobei
Lineage: Eukaryota; Metazoa; Arthropoda; Insecta; Diptera; Syrphidae
Also listed under: 1 other name
Description: tRNA-Cys
Source: RNAcentral